Molecule: long non-coding RNA, 7680 nt
Filed under: Vigna radiata
Lineage: Eukaryota; Viridiplantae; Streptophyta; Magnoliopsida; Fabales; Fabaceae
Description: long non-coding RNA (VRAD_LNC014886)
Source: RNAcentral
UGAUACCUAAGAGUCAUAAUUUCGGAAUAAAAGUUUGAUCUUAUGCCCAAGGGUUCCUUAUUGGCUCUGUAGGGUAGUCAGCCGCGGAAUUUUCUUUCAUUAUUCUAAAGAGUUUGAAAUUCACACUUCCAUUUUUCGCCUUAAAAAAAUUAAAUAAAAAAUAAAAUGCUUGAAAUAUUGGCAUAUUUAAUGACUAUACAAAUUUUAUUUAAUAAAUAAUAACUAUUUUCAUAAACGAAAUUCUAAUUAUUAAUUUAAUCUCGAAAACCUAUUUCAAACAACUGAGAUAGAAAGGCACGCACAUUUAAAAGCUAUGGAAAGAAUUCAGAGAAACAAAAACAAUGUCACACCCCAUUUAAUACUCCACUUAAGUGGAAUACAUGUGUCAACCGUCCGGUUCUCCCCUGGUGAGUGAGAGACAAACUCUGAUCAACUUUUAAUUCCCUUCCCUCGUGAUCCGUGCAGCAGCAGCAGAGCAGUGAACCCCAGCAAGUGGAAGUCAGGUGUCACGCUGGAGUUGGCCAAACCGUUCGGAUUGGAGGCAGUAUUUAAGGUAAGAGUGAAGACCUGACGCCACUUUUGCAUGCAAUCUUCAUCUUCUUCCUCAAACCCAACUUUCUGAAAAUCUCAAAUUCUCCUCCUUCUCUCUAAAACCUCCCUACCUUCUCUCUAAAAUUCUAACUCAUUCACUAUUCCGAUCACCCUUCAGAUCACACCUGAAGACUCCUGGUGGUCUCCCCUUUCACUUAAACCGUCCGGUUUUCAAGUUUGCAUCUGAUCUUGGGGAAACUUAGAAGAAUAGUUCAUACCAACUUAUUUUCAAGACUUAGCUGGAAUUAAAGGUAAGGGAAGCUUAUAAAGUUUAAUUAUGAUUUUCUGUAUGGUUUGAAUAUGUGCCAGAUUUGAUGCAUGUUUGAUAUCUAAAGUAUGUUGCUUGAUUUCUUAUGAUUGGAAUAUGGUAUGUUGUUGUAUGAGUUGCAUGAUAAGUAUGAACUAUGAAUUUUGCACUGAUAAGAGUAUGUAUGAAACUUAGAAGAAAACGUGAAUCUGAGAUCGAAGGUCAUUAGGACCGUUCGGUCCUCCCUUUUCCGUUCGNUCUAUUGUGACUGAUUGGCCUAGUAUAGUUACUAAAACUGAAUUGGUUUCCUUUAAGUAUUCUUUUGAUCGCUAUUUAAGAAUGCUGGUCAUAAACCAAGCGUUCGGCCUUCCAAGUGUUUGGCCUUAGGCUGACACUUGAAUUUAUAAAAUUUGUAAAUCUGAUAUUCUUUCUUUUGAAACCGUCCGGUCACUUAAUGGCUGAAUGGUCUAGUGAAUCCUUUAAUUAUUGAGACGUCCAGUUUACUUGACUAAACCUUUUACUCCUUUAAAGAGUUCCUUAUUCCUCAAUUCGUCCGNCCUGAUAAGUGUUUGGUCAUAGACCAACCUUCAACCAUCUUAAUUCCUAUUUUAUGAUAUUACUGUCAAACCGUUCGGAUGACUAUCAUUCAUAGUAAAUCCUUAAGCUACGAUCUCAUUCUUUAUCUAAUCAUUCUAUAUAUCAUCGACAUACUUCUGUUAUUCAGUCUUACCUUUGAUAUGACCGUCCGGUCAUUUACUUGAAUUCUUGAUACUCAUUUUACCCUUUUGAUUUAAACCGUUCGGUCACUAUUGGUUAUAAUUCCGUAUUGGAUAUUUGGUACUCCUAUCAACACCCUAACAGUUUGAAAGAAAUAAUGAACAUUGGUUGAAUUUGACUAAGUAAGAGAAUUCCACUGGCGGAAUGACUCAUGAAUUGGUAUUGAUUGGUAAAGUAUGGAUGUGGGAAUGACUCAGGUGUUGUCCUUGAUCCUGAUAUUCCGUGACGACGCUUUCUCAAGUAGAGAGAGGUCACUCAUGCGUGGGAAUGGCAGGAGGUCCGCGGUUAUAUGAGUAGAUAACCGUUUGAGGGCUAACCUCGGGUGGCAGCUGAUCAGAGAGACAGUUACUACACCACACCGGGUGCUAGGGACGACCGAGCUACAUGUUCAUACCGUCCGGAAAGUGUCUUAGUGGUCGGUCAUAAAUUGGUGAACUUAGUAUGCAUGUGUAGUACUUGUGUGUAUAACAUGUUGACUGGUUCUGUUUAUUUGUUUAUAUGUAUGUUGAAAUCAUUAAUUAAAUUUACGUAAGCUUACCCUUAUCCUUUGUAUCUUUGCCUAUGUUGUCGUUCGGUAUCCGACCGUUCGGUCAUUCUCUUCAUUGCAAUGAUCAUCCGGUUGGGUGUGAGCAGAGGAUAACUUAGAAGUUACCUUGGAAGCUACUUUGGAGGACACUCUGGAAGAUGCAGUAGAAGCCGUGCCCGAGAGUUAUGCAGGACCGUCCGGUCCUUAGUAUAGUGUUUUCUCUUGGUUUUAUAUUUUGUAGAUGCUAUGUAUAGGGAACUUUUGAUGAUUGACCGUUCGGUCAAUGAAGUUAGUCUAAGACCGUUCGGUCUAACUUGUAAAUAUUUUACUUAAUUGAACUGUUGAACAGUUUUAAAUUAAAUGCUAUUCUCCUAUCCCUUUCACCUCUCGGUUUAUUCAUUAUUGUUCUCCUUUAUUGUUCAUGUUAACUCCUGAAAAUGAAUUAUAGCUUUGGUUAUAUUUAUUGGGAUGUUACAUUAAUGGUAUCAGAGCAGUUUCUUCCUUAGAAUGCCUGUAGGUUAUGAGUAUACCAUGUUUAUGCUGUGUACUCACUUAUCCGAUCGGAAUAUUCUGAUUCUGGUGGACUAAUGGAUCUUUCUUUCUGUUGGAAGCAGAAAAUGGCUCCAAGACCACCCCAUCAACCUGUUGUUAGAGAUACGUCCGGCGAGAACAACCUGUUGGAGUCCGUCUUAGCUGCACUUCAACAGCAGAAUGCCAACCUGGUUCAGCAGAAUGCCAACCUUGCUCAACAAAACGCUUUGGCCAUGCAGCAUUCUGAAGCGGCCAAAGCCUCAGCAGAAGCAACCCAGAGGCAGAUUGCUGAUUUAUUGACGAACGGAAUGCAGUCUGGCAGACCGUUCGGUUCUUCAUCAAGCAACCAGGCUGAAUGGAGUCUGGAGAGCUUUCUCCAGCACCGUCCGGCCAAGUUUGAUGGAAAAUGCAGUGCUGACGAAGCCGAUCACUGGCUUCGUGACAUGGAGAGGAUCUACGAUGCCAAGAGGUGUGGAGAUGAGAACCGACUGGCUUUUACAGAGUAUCUGUUGACUGGAGAGGCCGGUCAUUGGUGGAGUAGUACCAAGAUGCUACUGGAGGAUGAACAUCUCCCUAUCACUUGGGAGAUAUUCAAGAAUAGGUUUAUGAAGAAUACUUCCUGAACAGCGUCCGGUUCGCCAAAGAAGUGGAAUUCCUUCAGUUGGUUCAAGGAGGAAUGACGGUCUCUGAGUAUGCUAAUAGAUUUAAGCAACUCAUGAGGUUCUAUACAAUGAGGAUGAGUGAAGAAUGGCAGUGCAGGAAGUUUGAGAAUGGACUGAGAGAAGACUUGAAACCAGUCAUUGCCAGUCACUGUAUUCAGAAGUUCCCUGCCUUAGUGGAGAGGGCAAAAGUACUAGAGAAGAAUCUGAUGGAAGCCGAAAGGUGUAAGAAGCAACAACAAUCAAGCUCUAGGGGACCUAUCUUUGCAAGAAACAACUCUGGUCCCAGAACGAACCCUUACUCUCGGCCCAUGCCAUCUCAGGGUCCUUCUACUUUGGCCGUUCGGCCUGUUAGCUUUGCCAGACCGUCCGGUCAACAAGGGAGUGUAAGUUGCUUCAGCUGUGGAGGCCCUCACUUCAUGAAGGAUUGUCCCAGGCCAGCAAAUGCCAAGUUUUGUGUCCGGUGCAGAAGGAAUGGGCACUUAGAGAGGGACUGCAAUAUGGGUGGCCAAACGUUCUCAAGGCCACCGAACGCUGGAAGGUUUCAACAGAGUGGAGGCCGAGCACAAGCAGCUGGCCGGGUCUACGCUAUAACGGGGGCUGAAGCGUCCGGUGCAGGUAACCUCAUCACCAGUACUUGCUUGCUAUUUGGUGUUCCCUGCUGUGUAUUAUUUGAUUCGGGGGCAACACACUCCUUCAUCUCGAAGGCAUGUGUUGAUAGACUGGGUUUAGCCGAGAGAGAGAUGCAGCUCGACUUAGUGGUGUCAACCCCAGCAGCUGGUGAGGUUAGGACAUCNACUGUAUGUAUAAAAUGUCCUAUUGAGGUAGAAGGGUACAAGUUUAAGGUGAACCUCAUAUGUUUACCUCUUCAAGACUUAGAAGUAAUNUUAGGAAUGGAUUGGUUAACCUCCAAUCACAUUCUUAUUGACUGUGGGAAGAAGAAGCUGAUUUUCCCAAGAGAAGAAGAGAAGCUGACUUUGACGCUCGGUCAGAUGAGAGAGGACUUGAUUGAAGGUGCAAUGAGUUUCCUCAUUCUGACUUAUAUGGAUGCAAGUGGAGCAAACCGUCCGGUUGGAAACCGUCCGGUUAUUGAGGAAUUUAUGGACGUGUUUCCNGAAGAGGUACCAGGCCUACCCCCACAAAGAGAGGUUGAAUUCUCCAUUGACUUGAUCUCAGGAGCUGGCCCUGUAUCCAUUGCACCGUACAGAAUGGCUCCAGCAGAGCUGGCCGAAUUGAAGAAGCAAAUAGAGGAGUUAUUGGAGAAGAGAUUCAUCCGGCCAAGUGCCUCACCUUGGGGAGCCCCAGUGCUUUUGGUCAAGAAAAAGGAUGGCAACUCUCGGUUAUGCAUUGACUAUAGGCAGUUGAACAAACUGACUAUCAAGAACAAGUACCCCCUGCCAAGAAUAGACGAUCUGUUGGAUCAACUUCAUGGAGCUACAGUCUUCUCCAAGAUAGACUUGAGGUCCGGAUAUCAUCAAAUUUUGGUCAAGGAAGGUGACAUCCAGAAGACUGCCUUUAGGUCAAGGUACGGUCAUUAUGAGUACGUGGUAAUGCCGUUCGGUGUUACCAACGCUCCUGCUAUCUUCAUGGAUUACAUGAACCGUAUCUUCAGGCCUUUCUUGGACAAGUUUGUGGUAGUGUUUAUUGAUGAUAUCCUCAUCUACUCCAAGAACCGAGAAGAGCAUGAAGAUCAUUUGAGGAUGAUCCUUGGUGUACUUAGGGAGAAGAAGCUGUACGCUAAGUUGUCCAAGUGCGAAUUUUGGAUGGAACAAGUACAGUUUCUUGGGCAUGUUAUCUCAGCCGGCGGAAUUGCUGUGGAUCCAGGUAAAAUCCAAGCAAUACUAGAAUGGGAGACACCCCGUUCGAUUUUUGACGUGAGAAGCUUUGUUGGAUUGGCAGGCUACUAUAGACGGUUUAUUGAAGGAUUCUCUAAGAUAGUAGCGCCGUUGACGCAAUUGACCAGGAAGGAUCAACCGUUCGUCUGGACCGACCGGUGUGAGUCCAGUUUCCAGGAAUUGAAGCAGCGACUGACGAACGCUCCGGUUUUGNUAAUUCCUGACGUCAACCAACCCUUUGUUGUAUUUUGUGAUGCUUCAUAUCAAGGCUUGGGUUGUGUGUUGAUGCAAGAAGGGAAGGUAGUGGCCUAUGCCUCUCGGCAAUUGAAGAUUCAUGAGAAGAACUACCCAACACAUGAUCUAGAAUUGGCAGCAGUGGUAUUUGCCCUUAAGAUAUGGAGGCACUACCUAUAUGGUGUCCGGUUUCAAGUAUUCAGUGACCACAAGAGCCUCAAGUAUCUAUUUGACCAGAAGGAACUGAACAUGAGGCAAAGGAGAUGGAUGGAGUUCUUAAAGGANUAUGAUUUUGAACUACAAUACCAUCCUGGCAAGGCAAACGUAGUAGCUGAUGCUUUGAGCAGGAAGACCGUUCAUAUGGCAAACAUGAUGGUCCUAGAGUUGAAGUUGGUGGAAAGCUUUAGAGACUUAAGGCUCCAUUGUGAGUUAGAGCCGAACGGUAUUCAUUGUUGCUAUAUGAAGCUGUCAAGUGAUAUCUUUGACCGGAUCAGGGAAAGGCAAGCCUUUGAUGAAGAACUGCAGAAGAUCAGUAAACCGAACGGUGUACCACCCCACAAGGACUUCAGUUCUGGGACGGAUGGUCUUCUAAGAUAUAGAGGAAGGACUUGUGUUCCCAAUGAUGAAGACUUGAGAAGAUUGGUUCUGGAAGAAGCUCAUCAAAGCCGUCUUAGCAUACACCCCGGUAUGACUAAGAUGUACAAGGACCUUCGAAUGUCUUUCUGGUGGCCAGGAAUGAAACACGAUGUAGCUCGGUUUGUGGAAUCUUGUUUAACCUGUCAAAGAGCUAAGAUAGAGUACCAGAAACCGAGCGGUCUUUUACAGCCACUAGAAGUACCAGAAUGGAAGUGGGACAGCAUAGCCAUGGAUUUCGUGACUCACUUGCCCCGUACAGUCAGAAACCAUGAUGCUAUAUGGGUAAUAGUUGAUAGACUGACUAAGAGUGCACAUUUUCUUCCUAUCAACUUGAAGAUGCCAAUGUCCAAGCUGGCUCAGCUAUACAUCAAAGAGAUCGUUCGGCUGCAUGGAGUACCGUCCGGUAUAGUGUCAGACCGAGACCCCAGAUUCACCUCUCGGUUUUGGCAAGCACUUCAACAGGAAAUGGGAAGCAAACUUCAGAUGAGUUCUGCCUACCAUCCGCAAACAGACGGCCAGUCCGAGAGAACCAUCCAAACCCUAGAAGACUUAUUGAGAACUAGUGUUCUAGAUCACUUAGGGGUUUGGGAUGAAAUCUUGCCUUUAACUGAGUUCACUUACAACAAUAGCUUCCAUUCAAGCAUUGGGAUGGCACCUUAUGAAGCUCUUUAUGGAAGAAAAUGCCGAACACCCCUCUGCUGGUUCCAAGAAGGAGAAGCAGUGUUAACCGGACCUGAGAUCAUCCAACAAACAAUUGAGAAGGUGAAGUUGAUCCAGGAAAGACUUAAAGCGUCUCAAAGCCGACAGAAAUCGUACGCCGACAGAAGAAGGAAGCCUUUGGAAUUCGCUGCAGGAGACCAUGUAUUCCUCAAGCUAAACCGUACGGCUGGAGUUGGAAGAGUCGUCCGGCCAAAGAAGCUUUCUCCUAGAUUCCUUGGUCCAUACCAAAUCUUAAGGCGCAUUGGACCAGUCGCUUACGAGUUAGCCUUGCCUCCUCAAUUGUCCAACCUUCACCCUGUUUUCCACGUUUCUCAACUCCGGAAGUACAUUGCGGACCCUUCUCAUGUGCUUGAAGCUGACAACAUUCAACAUAAGGAAGACUGUUCGGUCGAGAUACAACCAGUUCGAGUCGAAGGAUUGAUGGUCAAACGUCCGCCCGGUAAAGCCACGACUCUCGUCAAGGUCAUCUGGGAUGACCGAACGGGUGAUUCAACUUGGGAACGAGAAGAAGUUAUGAAGGAGUCCUACCCGCAUCUCUUCCCUUGUAAGUCUUAAUUUUCGAGGUCGAAAAUUUUAUUAGUUAGGGGGGAUGUCACACCCCAUUUAAUACUCCACUUAAGUGGAAUACAUGUGUCAACCGUCCGGUUCUCCCCUGGUGAGUGGGAGACAAACUCUGAUCAACUUUUAAUUCCCUUCCCUCGUGAUCCGUGCAGCAGCAGCAGAGCAGUGAACCCCAGCAAGUGGAAGUCAGGUGUCACGCUGGAGUUGGCCAAACCGUUCGGAUUGGAGGCAGUAUUUAAGGUAAGAGUGAAGACCUGACGCCACUUUUGCAUGCAAUCUUCAUCUUCUUCCUCAAACCCAACUUUCUGAAAAUCUCAAAUUCUCCUCCUUCUCUCUAAAACCUCCCUACCUUCUCUCUAAAAU